UGCGAAAAGUGACCAUCAUGCAACUUGCAGCACCGAAGUUGAUCUGUUUCGAACAACUGUGGAACCCGGCAGAAAUGUUCCCAAAGUAUAAAAUGGUCACUAUAUUUUAAAAGUCUAGCACCAUUUGGACGACUUGAUUUUACAUUAUUACAAUUUUUACAUUAUUACAAUUUUGUUUUGCGGUUUUAAGCAAGUGAGGAGGAUCAGAUAUUAAGAAAAUUGAAAGCUCCGCAGAGAAAACAAUUUCCUGUUACAAGCUGCACCAUCUGCAACAAGUGCUAUUAUUGUAAAAUCACAAUCGGCAAUUGCUGAAACUUCUUCCCAAAACAUGCUGGCCAAUUUAUAUGCUUUGGUGUUGUGGGUGGAGAAAAAAAGCCAAUGGUCUGGAGAACUGACUCGUGAUGGAUCUAACAUAUAGCUGAAGCACAUGGGAUGCAGCUAUCGUUUCCUUUUUUCUUUCAGCCCCAAGAUCAACGAAUCCAACUAUGGAGUCGGUGGUGGCAUCCUACAUAAUAUUUUCCUAAACUAGACAUUACAAGAAGUCGUUGAUGAGACUGCAGUUUUACAGCCUCCAACUUCAACUCCUGCAACACAUGCUGUUGGAUACCAGGUGAUGUGCUGUAAAGAUUCCUAAAAUAGUAUUUUUUACCAUUUAGAACUGUUCCAAAUGAAAAGUAGCAUGAGUAUUCGAACAUAAUCAUUUAAUGUUCUGGAACUGGGUAGGCGAAGCAAACCAGACUCCCGCAGCUCCUCGUAACAACUUUUACUUUUAGAAUCUAAACACAUGAAUAACCGAAUGUCUGUAAACCGUAUAUACAUAAUCCUUUUAUAUUAGUAGCUAUACAUACUUAAUAAUCUCUGGGUGGUAACGUUCACCUUUUGUUUUGCUACCAUUAAGUUUGAUCUGUUCUUCCCAAAACAGUUUAUAAAAGUCAUUAACUUCCUGCUUGUCACAGGCUAAAGUUAAAAAAGCUGGUUAAAGGGUGAAAGGUUGUUUAUUUUGCUGAAACUGUACCUUGGGCCAUUAAAUUUUUGAAAUCAUUUGCUAAAUCUGCCUCUACGACAACCAAACGUUCUUCAGUUUCAAAGUUUUUUUAAUUUUUGUUUCCAAUUCAGUGAUUCUGUCAAGUAAUUGCAUUUUAAUUCAGCACUGUUUUUAGAAAGAAAUAUCAAUAGUCAAUACCGAACAUCUUUUUGUUCCAAUGAGCAUUUGAUUCUUUCCUUUAUUGUGUGGCCACAUUGAAUCCUUUAAGGGGUAUUCUUUUUACCUUCUCCUUGUAAAUCUUUCUUCGGUUUGUAUUUCUAUUUACUUUUUUCUUAACACACCCACAUUCUCUGCAUUGUUGUCCAUCUUUCAUAAAUAUCUGACACUUUUCUGCCCUGAUUAGAAUGUGUUAAAGAUUUAAUAUUUUUUUAAAUUUAAAAUGUAAUGCAUGAUUAGGCCUACAUGUACAGAUACUGUCUUAUUGCUCACCUAUGCGUUAUUAUGUUCACUUCUGGAAUUAAUCUAACUUCCAGAAAGGUUACUGGCCUUGGUCAUGUAAUGACACACCCCGGAUUUAGGUCACCCAGCAGUACACUACAAGUUCUGUACUGAAACACAGAUUUCAGGGCUUCAGCAAGAGGUUGAUGUUAAACAUCUAACUGUAUACAAUCUGGAGCACCCCAACCAUAAAGGAAGCCAAAACCCUGAAAUCCUUGAAGAUUUUCAAAUGAAGUUUUGGUUGGUCAUGACCAUCUUCAAAAAAUUAAUUAAUAGUCUCGCUAUUUUUAUUUAUAUUUUUCAGCCAAGUGGAAGAGGUGUUUGAGCCAGUGAAUUGAAAGUUUCAAAGUGUGGGGUGGUGGUGAUGAUGAUCUUGGUUAGUGGGAGUGGACUUGCAGCCACUAAAGCUACCGCGUUUCGGUGGGAGAUUCAAUGUUGGUUGUCGAGACCUUGUUUAUUUAAACUAAACUUAGGCUUUAUUUAACAUAACGUAACUACGACCUUAAACAAAUAGAAUAUUAGAUAUAGAUUAAAAUAACAACGGAAAUGAUAUCACUAAACUCAGUAAGCUAAUUCAAACAGUAACACUGCAACUGAAAGACGGGAGUUAAAACAAAUGGUGAAACGUG
Molecule: non-coding RNA, 2112 nt
Organism: Ciona intestinalis (vase tunicate)
Lineage: Eukaryota; Metazoa; Chordata; Ascidiacea; Phlebobranchia; Cionidae
Source: RefSeq, a predicted model, not a curated record